GUUUUAAUAAUUUAAUAUAAAAUAUUGGUCUUGUAAACCAAAAAUAAGGAAAACUUUUAAAACU
RNAcentral lists this transfer RNA (64 nucleotides) under Panesthia sp. Salganea. RNAcentral describes it as "tRNA-Thr". It matches the Rfam family "tRNA". Rfam says of the family: Transfer RNA (tRNA) molecules are approximately 80 nucleotides in length. RNAcentral also lists the same sequence under 1 other name. Lineage: Eukaryota; Metazoa; Arthropoda; Insecta; Blattodea; Blaberidae. The record is from RNAcentral.